GCUUCUGUUGGGAACUUCAUUGCCAGGUAUCUGAUACUGGUGACGGCCUCAAAGUCAAACAGCGCAGGUCUUCCCAGGAUCGCGUUGUAGCUCAGAGAAAGUUUGACUACCAGGAACAUCGCAUAAUGGGUGCGAGUCCUCGGUGCUUCUCCUAGGGUGAGGGCCAGCUUCACCUUCCCUUCUACGGGUACUGGGACUCCUCCG
RNAcentral lists this long non-coding RNA (204 nucleotides) under Manihot esculenta (cassava). Its description in RNAcentral is "long non-coding RNA (MESC_LNC010450)". Lineage: Eukaryota; Viridiplantae; Streptophyta; Magnoliopsida; Malpighiales; Euphorbiaceae. The record is from RNAcentral.